Molecule: small RNA, 419 nt
Filed under: Pan troglodytes (chimpanzee)
Lineage: Eukaryota; Metazoa; Chordata; Mammalia; Primates; Hominidae
Description: processed transcript
Source: RNAcentral
CGGAAGGGCAGCUACAAGGCCAAGAUGGCCCGAAGGAGCAAGAGGAGCCGCGGCAAGGAUGGGCAAGAAAGCAGAAAAAGGAGCUCCCUGUUCCGCAAGAUCACCAAGCAAGCAUCCCUGCUCCACACCAGCCGCAGCCUUUCUUCCCUUAACCGCUCCUUGUCAUCAGGGGAGAGUGGGCCAGGCUCUCCCACACACAGCCACAGCCUUUCCCCCCGAUCUCCCACUCAAGGCUACCGGGUGACCCCCGAUGCUGUGCAUUCAGGUACGAAGGGCUCCCUGCAGAUCAGUGACAACCCCUGGGAAAUAGGAAAGUUCCUAGGCCCUGUGUGCUUCUGACAGAUCUCACUCUGAGUCUCUCAUUUAGCCCACCCCCUGAAAGAUCCUGUAGUCUUGGGGAGGAGUUAAUUGAUGGGGAA